CCGUGAGACGCAAUUAUGCAGACAUCUUCCUGAUGAUGUUGCCCCAACGAUGGGUAGAAGACGUGAAUACUGAGUGUCUUUGUCAUAAUUGUUUGGGAUUAGAAAUGCAUGGAGUCUGAGAUUACGUGUUGGCAGGGUGAUUCAUUUCAAUCUUGAAUUGCAUUCAGAGUCUUAUCUAGUGCGGUGAUGUGUCUCUCUGUGCCUCCGUCCAUCCAUCAGACUGCGAGAAGAAAGGAAUCCAGGGCGCUAGGUAAUGACGGCGAAGGCCUCAGCCUCAUCUGACAACGGAGACAAGAGAGACUCACCUGUGGACAUACUUAAUAAUCAAGGUCCCCACAAGCGACUGAUGGAGUGGAAGAAACGUUAUCUACGAGGGAGGAAGGGAGACGUCUCGGGCCAUCCAGAGCCACUGAGACAGCUCUGCAGGCAGGACCCAUCCAGCAGCAUAGGACUGUGGAGAACAGGCGGUGUCUGCUGGGAAGCCCGCUGUAUUGUUAUUCUCCCCUGAUGUGCAGUGGAAAGGGGGAGGCAGAGGGGAGGACCUAGCUGCCGGACAGACAGACCACAGUUCCAUUAAGUCUGUUCCAUUGGUCAGAGGCCAGCUUCUCAGACACAGG
Molecule: long non-coding RNA, 617 nt
Organism: Oncorhynchus tshawytscha (Chinook salmon)
Lineage: Eukaryota; Metazoa; Chordata; Actinopteri; Salmoniformes; Salmonidae
Source: Ensembl